AGUGAACGCUGGCGGUAGGCCUAACACAUGCAAGUCGAACGGCAGCACAGUAAGAGCUUGCUCUUACGGGUGGCGAGUGGCGGACGGGUGAGGAAUACAUCGGAAUCUACUUUUUCGUGGGGGAUAACGUAGGGAAACUUACGCUAAUACCGCAUACGACCUACGGGUGAAAGCAGGGGAUCUUCGGACCUUGCGCGAGUGAAUGAGCCGAUGUCGGAUUAGCUAGUUGGCGGGGUAAAGGCCCACCAAGGCGACGAUCCGUAGCUGGUCUGAGAGGAUGAUCAGCCACACUGGAACUGAGACACGGUCCAGACUCCUACGGGAGGCAGCAGUGGGGAAUAUUGGACAAUGGGCGCAAGCCUGAUCCAGCCAUACCGCGUGGGUGAAGAAGGCCUUCGGGUUGUAAAGCCCUUUUGUUGGGAAAGAAAAGCGGCAGGUUAAUACCCCGCUGUUCUGACGGUACCCAAAGAAUAAGCACCGGCUAACUUCGUG
Molecule: ribosomal RNA, 492 nt
Filed under: uncultured bacterium
Lineage: Bacteria
Description: partial 16S ribosomal RNA
Rfam family: Bacterial small subunit ribosomal RNA
Source: RNAcentral